This 606-nucleotide ribosomal RNA is filed under the name uncultured bacterium. RNAcentral's name for it is "bacterial SSU rRNA". It matches the Rfam family "Bacterial small subunit ribosomal RNA", at positions 912 to 1510 of the family's 1533-position model. The record is from RNAcentral.
GACGGGGGCUCACACAAGCGGUGGAGGAUGUGGCUUAAUUCGAGGCUACGCGAAGAACCUUAUCCUAGAUUUGACAUGCACGGAUUAGUUUUAUGAAAGUAGAAUGACGAGCUUUGCUUGGAACGUGCACAGGUGCUGCAUGGCUGUCGUCAGCUCGUGUCGUGAGAUGUCGGGUUAAGUCCCUUAACGAGCGAAACCCUUGUCUUUAGUUGCCAGCGCGUCAUGGCGGGGACUCUAAAGAGACUGCCGGUGUUAAACCGGAGGAAGGUGGGGAUGACGUCAAGUCCUCAUGGCCUUUAUGUCUAGGGCUGCACACGUCCUACAAUGCGGCGUACAACGGGAAGCGAACUUGCGAGAGUAAGCAAAUCCCUUAAAGCGUCGCUCAGUUCGGAUUGCAGGCUGCAACUCGCCUGCAUGAAGCUGGAAUCGCUAGUAAUCGUGGGUCAGCAUACCACCGGUGAAUAUGUUCCUGAGCCUUGUACACACCGCCCGUCAAGCCACGAAAGUGGGGGGCAUCCGAAGUCGCCGAGGGAACCGCAAGGACNUAAGCGCCGAAGAUAAACUCUGUGAUUGGGAUUAAGUCGUAACAAGGUAGCUGUAGGGGAA